Long non-coding RNA from Lolium rigidum, 245 nucleotides. RefSeq lists it as uncharacterized. The record is from RefSeq and is a predicted model, not a curated record. The transcript has 3 exons. NCBI's taxonomy places the organism in Eukaryota, Viridiplantae, Streptophyta, Magnoliopsida, Poales, Poaceae.
UCUGGCAGAGCAAUUAAAGAAACGGAUUUCAGCUUCCUAAUGGAUGGCAUUUGGCUUAUGAAGUAAAAAAGAUAUCCCGCUGGCAGGGCAAUAUUUUGGUUGGCCUCAUUCUCUUCUUUCCUCAAGGCUAUAAGUGAUGUGAUGUAGCAGAAAGGAAUGAUCUGUGGAUGACUAUAUGGCUUGCAAGAGACUGAGUCUGAAAUAUGUAUUGGUCCGUUGAUAUUAAACUUGACAAUAGUCAAUAG